AUGGCCACAUCACGUUGAAGGACCUGUUCUCGUAUGAUCACAGAAGUUAAGCAACUCGGGUUGGUCAGUACCUAGGUGAGUGACUGCUUGGGAAUACCAGGUGUUGUAAG
This is a non-coding RNA of Acanthosepion pharaonis, 110 nucleotides long. NCBI's taxonomy places the organism in Eukaryota, Metazoa, Mollusca, Cephalopoda, Sepiida, Sepiidae. The record is from the annotation of a GenBank genome assembly.